This 21-nucleotide non-coding RNA is filed under the name Caenorhabditis elegans. Lineage: Eukaryota; Metazoa; Nematoda; Chromadorea; Rhabditida; Rhabditidae. The record is from RNAcentral.
UAACGCUUUUAAAAGAUUUGC